CGGUUAUUGCCUCAGUAGCGGCGAGUGAAGCGGCAAAAGCUCAAAUUUGAAAUCUGGCGUCUUUGGCGUCCGAGUUGUAAUUUGAAGAAGGUAUCUUUGGGCCCGGCUCUUGUCUAUGUUCCUUGGAACAGGACGUCACAGAGGGUGAGAAUCCCGUGCGAUGAGAUGACCCGGGUCUGUGUAAAGUUCCUUCGACGAGUCGAGUUGUUUGGGAAUGCAGCUCUAAGUGGGUGGUAAAUUCCAUCUAAAGCUAAAUAUUGGCGAGAGACCGAUAGCGAACAAGUACAGUGAUGGAAAGAUGAAAAGAACUUUGAAAAGAGAGUGAAAAAGUACGUGAAAUUGUUGAAAGGGAAGGGCUUGAGAUCAGACUUGGUAUUUUGCAUGCUGCUCUCUCGGGGGCGGCCGCUGCGGUUUACCGGGCCAGCAUCGGUUUGGAGCGGCAGGAUAAUGGCGGAGGAAUGUGGCACGGCUUCUGCUGUGUGUUAUAGCCUCUGACGAUACUGCCAGCCUAGACCGAGGACUGCGGUUUUUACCUAGGAUGUUGGCAUAAUGAUCUUAAGUCGCCCGUCUUAAACACACCCGGACAACCA
RNAcentral lists this ribosomal RNA (590 nucleotides) under Candida albicans. RNAcentral's name for it is "eukaryotic LSU rRNA". It matches the Rfam family "Eukaryotic large subunit ribosomal RNA", at positions 69 to 664 of the family's 3401-position model. Lineage: Eukaryota; Fungi; Ascomycota; Pichiomycetes; Serinales; Debaryomycetaceae. The record is from RNAcentral.